AGAGUUUGAUCAUGGCUCAGGAUAAACGCUGGCGGCGUGCCUUAUGCAUGCAAGUCGAACGUGAAGCCCGCUUCGGCGGGUGGAAAGUGGCGAACGGGUGAGUAACACGUAGGAACCUGCCCGGAAGUGGGGGAUAACCCCGCGAAAGCGGGGCUAAUACCGCAUGUGGUCGUAAGACUAAAGCUUCGGUGCUUCCGGAGGGGCCUGCGGCGGAUUAGCUAGUUGGUGGGGUAAUGGCCUACCAAGGCGACGAUCCGUAGCUGGUCUGAGAGGAUGGUCAGCCACACUGGAACUGAGACACGGUCCAGACUCCUACGGGAGGCAGCAGCAAGGAAUUUUGCGCAGUGGGCGAAAGCCUGACGCAGCAACGCCGCGUGGGGGAAGAAGGCCUUCGGGUUGUAAACCCCUUUUGCGAGGGAAGAAGAUCUGACGGUACCUCGCGAAUAAGCCACGGCUAACUACGUGCCAGCCGCCGCGGUAAUAC
Molecule: ribosomal RNA, 484 nt
Filed under: uncultured bacterium
Lineage: Bacteria
Description: bacterial SSU rRNA
Rfam family: Bacterial small subunit ribosomal RNA
Source: RNAcentral